CUGCAGCCCAAGUGGUGAUCGAUAUUAUUGAGCCUAAAGCGUCCGUAGCCGGUUUGGUAAACCCUCGGGUAAAUCGAGCAGCUUAACUGUUCGAAUUCCGGGGGGACUGCCAGACUUGGGACCGGGAGAGGUCAGAGGUACUUCAGGGGUAGGGGCUAAAUCCUGUAAUCCUUGAAGGACCACCAGUGGCGAAGGCGUCUGACUAGAACGGAUCCGACGGUAAGGGACGAAACCCUGGGGCGCGAACCGGAUUAGAUACCCGCGUAGUCC
RNAcentral lists this ribosomal RNA (270 nucleotides) under uncultured archaeon. RNAcentral describes it as "partial 16S ribosomal RNA". It matches the Rfam family "Archaeal small subunit ribosomal RNA", at positions 477 to 747 of the family's 1478-position model. The record is from RNAcentral.